Molecule: non-coding RNA, 31 nt
Filed under: Mus musculus (house mouse)
Lineage: Eukaryota; Metazoa; Chordata; Mammalia; Rodentia; Muridae
Source: RNAcentral
UGAUCACCAACUGAGAAAAUGCCUUACCACU